UGGUUAUAUGUACAUGGGUAGGUGCAGA
Molecule: non-coding RNA, 28 nt
Filed under: Mus musculus (house mouse)
Lineage: Eukaryota; Metazoa; Chordata; Mammalia; Rodentia; Muridae
Source: RNAcentral